AUUGAACGCUGGCGGCAUGCCUUACACAUGCAAGUCGAACGGCAGCACGGGAGCAAUCCUGGUGGCGAGUGGCGAACGGGUGAGUAAUAUAUCGGAACGUGCCCAGUCGUGGGGGAUAACGUAGCGAAAGCUACGCUAAUACCGCAUACGAUCUAUGGAUGAAAGCGGGGGAUCGCAAGACCUCGCGCGAUUGGAGCGGCCGAUAUCAGAUUAGGUAGUUGGUGAGGUAAAGGCUCACCAAGCCGACGAUCUGUAGCUGGUCUGAGAGGACGACCAGCCACACUGUGACUGAGACACGGCCAAGACUCCUACGGGAGGCAGCAGUGGGGAAUGUUGGACAAUGGGCGCAAGCCUGAUGCAGCAAUGCCGCGUGCAGGAUGAAGGCCUUCGGGUUGUAAACUGCUUUUGUACGGAACGAAACGGUGAGCUCUAAUACAGUUUGCUAAUGACGGUACCGUAAGAAUAAGCACCGGCUAACUACGUGCCAGCCGCCGCCGUAA
This 500-nucleotide ribosomal RNA is filed under the name uncultured bacterium. RNAcentral describes it as "partial 16S ribosomal RNA". It matches the Rfam family "Bacterial small subunit ribosomal RNA", at positions 30 to 523 of the family's 1533-position model. The record is from RNAcentral.